Molecule: ribosomal RNA, 458 nt
Filed under: uncultured bacterium
Lineage: Bacteria
Description: partial 16S ribosomal RNA
Rfam family: Bacterial small subunit ribosomal RNA
Source: RNAcentral
AACGAACGCUGGCGGCAUGCCUAACACAUGCAAGUCGAACGAGACCUUCGGGUCUAGUGGCGCACGGGUGCGUAACGCGGGGGAAUCUGCCCUUCGGUUGGGCAUAACUGAGAGAAAUUUCAGCUAAUACCUUAUAAUGUCUUCGGACCAACGAUUUAUCGCCGAGGGAUGAGCCGGCGUCGGAUGAGGUAGUUGGUGGGGUAAUGGCCUACGAAGGCGACGAUCCGUAGCUGGUCUGAGAGGAGGAUCAGCCACACUGGAACUGAGACAGGGCCCAGACGCCGACGGGAGGCAGCAGUGGGGAAUAUUGGACAAGGGGGGAAAGGGGGAUCCAGCCAUGGGGCGUGAGGGAAGAAGGUCUUAGGAGGGGAAAGAACUUGAAGUUGGGAGGAAGGGAAGUAAGUUAAUACCGGGCGGUUUUGACGGUACCAACAGAAUAAGCACCGGCUAACUUCGUG